Molecule: transfer RNA, 72 nt
Filed under: Phrynosoma platyrhinos (Desert horned lizard)
Lineage: Eukaryota; Metazoa; Chordata; Lepidosauria; Squamata; Phrynosomatidae
Description: tRNA-OTHER
Rfam family: tRNA (bases 9-72)
About the family: Transfer RNA (tRNA) molecules are approximately 80 nucleotides in length.
Source: RNAcentral
GCUGGUGUGGUGUAGUGGUUUGAGCACUGGACUAUAACUCUGGAGACCAGGGUUCGAAUCCCUGCUUGGCCA